UACGGAGGGGGCGAGCGUUAUUCGGAAUCAUUGGGCGUAAAGGGCGCGUAGGCGGCCCGCUAAGUCAGGGGUGAAAUCCCUCGGCUCAACCGAGGAAUUGCCUCUGAAACUGGCAGGCUCGAGGCCGGGAGAGGGUGGUGGAAUUCCCAGUGUAGCGGUGAAAUGCGUAGAUACUGGGAGGAACACCAGUGGCGAAGGCGGCCACCUGGACCGGUUCUGACGCUGAGGCGCGAAAGCGUGGGGAGCAAACAGG
This 253-nucleotide ribosomal RNA is filed under the name uncultured bacterium. RNAcentral's name for it is "partial 16S ribosomal RNA". It matches the Rfam family "Bacterial small subunit ribosomal RNA", at positions 524 to 776 of the family's 1533-position model. The record is from RNAcentral.